RNAcentral lists this ribosomal RNA (261 nucleotides) under uncultured archaeon. RNAcentral's name for it is "partial 16S ribosomal RNA". It matches the Rfam family "Archaeal small subunit ribosomal RNA", at positions 748 to 1009 of the family's 1478-position model. The record is from RNAcentral.
CAGCCGUAAACAAUGUGCGUUAGGUGUGUCGGUAACCACGCGUUACUGAUGCGCCGAAGAGAAAUCGUGAAACGCACCACCUGGGAAGUACGGUCGCAAGGCUGAAACUUAAAGGAAUUGGCGGGGGAGCGCCACAACAGGUGGGGCCUGCGGUUUAAUUGGAUUCAACACCGUAAAACUCACCAGGGAAGACUGUUACAUGGAGGCCGAGAUGAAGACUCUGCUAGAUUUUCAGAGAGGUGGUGCAUGGCGUAGUCGUGU